This 450-nucleotide ribosomal RNA is filed under the name uncultured Glomeromycotina. RNAcentral describes it as "SSU rRNA". It matches the Rfam family "Eukaryotic small subunit ribosomal RNA", at positions 569 to 1019 of the family's 1831-position model. The record is from RNAcentral. Lineage: Eukaryota; Fungi; Glomeromycota.
AGCAGCCGCGGUAAUUCCAGCUCCAAUAGCGUAUAUUAAAGUUGUUGCAGUUAAAAAGCUCGUAGUUGAAUUUCGGGGAUCAAUACGUCGGUCGUGCUUCGGUACGUACUGGCGUCAUUGAUUUCUCCCUUCUGACGAACCAUGAUGUCAUUAACUUGGUGUCAUGGGGAAAUCAGGACUGUUACUUUAGAAAAAAAUUAGAGUAGUUUAAAGCAGGCUCACGCUUGAAUACAUUAGCAUGGAAUAAUGAAAUAGGACGUUCGAUCCUAUUUUGUUGGUUUUUAGGAUCAACGUAAUGAUUAAUAGGGAUAGUUGGGGGCAUUAGUAUUCAAUUGUCAGAGGUGAAAUUCUUGGAUUUAUUGAAGACUAACUACUGCGAAAGCAUUUGCCAAGGAUGUUUUCAUUAAUCAAGAACGAAAGUUAGGGGAUCGAAGACGAUCAGAUACCGUC